This 72-nucleotide transfer RNA is filed under the name bacterium. Its description in RNAcentral is "tRNA-Val". It matches the Rfam family "tRNA". From Rfam's summary of the family: Transfer RNA (tRNA) molecules are approximately 80 nucleotides in length. The record is from RNAcentral.
GGACACUUAGCUCAGUGGUAGAGCGCUUCAUUCACAUUGAAGAGGUCACAGGCUCAAUCCCUGUAGUGUCCA